AAAAAAAGCUUGAUCAUUACUCCAUCCUGGAGCCUUAAAAUCCAAGCCUCUGGCCCCUUCCAAAACCGUUCGUACUAAAUUCCCAAAUCAAAACCAAACGUAGCGCCAUUCAUUUGGUGGCUGGAGGAAAGCCCCGCUCCUCUCCUCUCCUCUCCUCUCCUCGCUCCAUCGUUUAGGACUUUCGUCUUCGCCUCGAUUCCUUCUCCUCCUAUUCAGUCCGGGGGAUAAAGGAAAGAGGAAAUGGAUCCCGUCGCAUCCGUGUUGGAUAGAAUCAAAGGGUUCCUGAAUUCCACCGAGCAAUUCGUGAAGGGGGCGAUCCAGCGGCGCUUCGAUUUUCACCGCCACGAUCCAAUAGGGAUUCUGAAGCGCUUGCAACGAGAAGCAUUUUCUGACUUGAUGAAGCUUAGGGAUAGGCAGGACAAGGUCGAGCGCAUGCUUACAUUCUAUAAAUCUAGAAAAGGAAGUCUUUUCCCUGAAGCCAGCACACGCAUGAAAGGAAUCAUUGAUGUGGCUGGAGUAUUAAUGCUUCGUGAUGAUCAGCAGACAUAUGAUACCCUGGAUAGAGCGGGAAUAAAUUCUGGCAUAGACUCAAGGUUUAUUUUUGAGACUACUGUCAGGCAAAAGGAUUCUCUUGUAGCAGAAUUUAUGUCUAGUAGCAAUGACAUUUAUUAUGAUAAUGAUGUUGCCGGAAGCCCCCUGGUACUAGCAAAAGUAAUGUACCUGGCGCAUAUUAAUGAACUGCUGUCUGUAAUUUCAAUACCAUUUGGAGCUAAAUGUAAUGAUUUUCGUUCUGAUAUGAACCUGGCAGAGGGCAGAUGUCUUACUGGGUUCACUUCAUUCAGCCCACCAUUGUUUAGUCAACAUCAUGGCUGUGCUACUGGUUUAACAGUCAAAGCAUCAAACUUUACUGCUUCUUUGGCUGAGUUGAUUUCUAGUUUGGGGUCUGAACCAGAUGCUGCUGAUUACAGGAGUAUCUUGAGCACAUUUUGGCAAAUUUCAUACCAGCUAUCAGAAGAAGCUAAACUCACUUUGUCUGGUGCCUGGAAAAUGCCUAGUUCAUUGUCACAGCCUAUUAGAGUCAGUAAUGUUGCCGUACCAAAAGCCAAAUUGCGAUCCCAUUUCAGACCUGAUGUAAUGGCACAAGCAUCCCCUUCUGCCACUACAAUGUCUACCAUAGGAAUUAUAUCAGGAGGAUCUGCUGCCAUAACAUUAGAGUUUGAUGAAAGUACAAAAUUUGGGGGAUGGGUUGAGGUGCAAAAGUCAAACCCAAACCCCAGUCUCUUGCAGUGGGCCAUCACCUUAUCUGAUACUCCGGACGAUGAGCUAGGCUGGGGUUUGAGUGUGGGAGGAAGGGUUGAAGGGCAAUCAAAUGUUGUUUGUUUGGAAGGCUUUCUCAAUUUCAGUAUGGGUAAGAGAGCCAGCUUGCAGCCUGGUCUUGUGUGUGUAAUGGAUGGGAAAAGUCGAACCCCCGCACUGGUGUUUCGAUCAAGUUGGUUUAUGUGACCAUCUGACGGACUGAAGUCUAUGGUUGAUUAUAAACUACUGGAAGUUAUGGCGCUUCUGCUUUGGCGGAGGAUUCAAUUCCUCCUGCACAAGGAUAAACAACAUUGCUGUCAAAUCAUGUUGGGUGGGCCUUCGUUUGCCUCCCAAUUUGUUUGGUGGGAACCGAAGAUUAAUUAUGUGUUGGGCCGGCUUUAUGAAAUGUUUUGCAUCUUAUGUGGAAUUACUGGAGUUAGGAGGUUUGGAUUUCUUUUGGUUGUGUACUUAUUGCCUAGACCUAGAUUUUUUUUUUUUUUUUUCAAAGAUGUGUCUCAACAGCAUGGUGACAACAUUUUCUGAGUUAUUUGAAUUUCUUGAGGUGGCUGAAUGAUUCUUCAAGUUCUCUAAUUAUUGAAACUAAUCAAGAAUGGCCUUGGUGAUUUGGUCAUAAUUAUUAAUUGACUUAAUAAAUACUCUUGCAUUACGAAUAAAUGAUGUUAUUA
This is an RNA transcript of Phoenix dactylifera (date palm), 1982 nucleotides long. RefSeq lists it as uncharacterized. Lineage: Eukaryota; Viridiplantae; Streptophyta; Magnoliopsida; Arecales; Arecaceae. The record is from RefSeq and is a predicted model, not a curated record.